RNAcentral lists this ribosomal RNA (919 nucleotides) under Salmonella enterica. RNAcentral describes it as "partial 23S ribosomal RNA". It matches the Rfam family "Bacterial large subunit ribosomal RNA", at positions 1 to 852 of the family's 2925-position model. The record is from RNAcentral. Lineage: Bacteria; Pseudomonadati; Pseudomonadota; Gammaproteobacteria; Enterobacterales; Enterobacteriaceae.
ACAGUGGACGCGAGCAUCUUUGUGGCUCAAGUUUUUAAGGGCACACGGUGGAUGCCUUGGCACCAGGAACCGAAGAAGGACGUAGGAAUCUGCGAUAAGCCUCGGGGAGUCGAUAACCAGACUGUGAUCCGAGGAUUUCCGAAUGGGGAAACCCGGCUGGAGGCAAGUCCAGUCACUCCCGCCUGAACACAUAGGGCGGGUAGAGGGAACGUGGGGAAGUGAAACAUCUCAGUACCCACAGGAAGAGAAAGCAACCGCGAUUCCGUGAGUAGUGGCGAGCGAAAGCGGAAGAGGCUAAACCUCAGUUGUGUGAUACCUGUCAGGGGUUGCAGCUGGGGGGUCGUGGGACUUUUCGGUCAGUGCUGACACGCUGGCAUGGAGUCAGAAAUGCGCGUUGUAGUCGAAGGGCAUUGAAAGGCCCGGCACAGAGGGUGCUACCCCCGUAGACGAAACGAUGCGCACUCCAGAGAAGUAUCCCAAGUAGCACGGGGCCCGAGAAAUCCCGUGUGAAUCUGGCGGGACCACCCGCUAAGCCUAAAUAUUCCCUGGUGACCGAUAGCGGACAAGUACCGUGAGGGAAAGGUGAAAAGUACCCCGGGAGGGGAGUGAAAUAGAUCCUGAAACCGUGUGCCUACAAUCCGUCGGAGCCUCCUUGUGGGGUGACGGCGUGCCUUUUGAAGAAUGAGCCUGCGAGUUAGUGCUCAGUGGCGAGGUUAACCCGUGUGGGGAAGCCGUAGCGAAAGCGAGUCCGAAUAGGGCGUUUUAGUCGCUGGGUCUAGACCCGAAGCGGAGUGAUCUACCCAUGGCCAGGUUGAAGCGACGGUAAGACGUCGUGGAGGACCGAACCCACUUAGGUUGAAAACUGAGGGGAUGAGCUGUGGGUAGGGGUGAAAGGCCAAUCAAACUCCGUGAUAGCUGG